This is a long non-coding RNA of Cydia strobilella, 223 nucleotides long. RefSeq lists it as uncharacterized. The transcript is spliced from 2 exons. The record is from RefSeq and is a predicted model, not a curated record. Lineage: Eukaryota; Metazoa; Arthropoda; Insecta; Lepidoptera; Tortricidae.
AUUUCCGAUGAAGCUGAAAAUUUGCAUAUAUAUGUAAGUCGAGUGACAAUGUAAUAUUAUGGUACCAUCGAGCUGAUCUGAUGAUGGAGACAGAAGCCAUAGGAACUAUGUGAUAAAACAACGCAACCUAAUUGUGUUUGGGGUUUUUAGAAUUGUCUCGAUGAGUGUUAGUUGCCUGUGGAAAGAAAAGUACAGUCAGCGAUAAAAGCUUGUACCAAUUUUU